AAAUCUUCACUGAUUUUAGUAAGUUAACAUUUUAAAAUAGUGAACUUUUUUUUUAAUGCCUCCUAACUGUGUGUGGCAAGAGAAUACAGUGAUGACGGCUUCACUGGGAAGGCGGUGGGGGUCUGGUUCCUCGUCGGCAGGAUGCCUUCCCUGCCUGGGCUCAGCGGGGAGAGAGGCUGUGUCUGUUGUUUGGUCAGGAAAACACAUUUGGACAGGCAGCCUCAAGCCAGAGUGUCUGCCGUUAUUUUCAUUAAAUUCUUCCCAAUCCAGCGUGUAUUAAUGUGUUAUUUAUCUAUUAUUAUUAUUUUUUUUGGUUAUUCAUGCCAAGAACAAGGCCAAAUUUUCCCUCAGUUAUUUGAAAUAAUUUAAAAAAAUAAGUAGGGCAUUUCUAUGCCAUGAUGUUAUCUCAGGAUUUCGGGGGAUGGGCCGUGGGAUCAGUUAGUUGACUAGCUGCUUGACCCUGGGAGGUCACUUAACCUCUCUGUGACUUAGCUGCCCGAUCUGUAAAAUGAGAGCAAUAAUGCUGUUUACCUCAUGGGGUGGUGGUGAGGGACAAAUUAAUUAAUACAUGUAGAGCACCCAGGCCUGGGCACCGUGUGUUUGCUGUCACUGUUGGGAAUGUCGUCCACCACUGCCGUCUCACUGAAGCAGUGAGCGCGCCACUCUCCGCCUCCUCCUCUGUCUCCUCCUCUCCCCUCCUUCCUGCUUUUCUUUUCCUUCUGCCAUAGUAGCUUUCCUCUUAAAAUCACAGCAUGGAAGUGGUUUACUUUUUUCAUUAUUUAUGAAAUUUAUUUGAAUUUGUCUGUAUUCAUUCAGAUAGAAUAAUCCAUGGAUUUGCAGUAGUUUAAAAACAGAAGGGUGCUCCCAAUUUUAAUAAAUCUCUAUCUGUGUAUCCAAAUAUAUAUGAAUGUAUGUGUGUAAAUAAUAAUAAAUAUUAUUAUUGUAAAAGAGUAAGAAAACCAUUUAGAUUUUAAAUUACCUUGCAGUCAGCUUGCCACGUGUGGUUUGUUGCUUGGGUGGAAUGACAGAGUAGAGAGAGGAAAACAUUCCCAGCUUGCCAAAGAAUAAUGAUUUAGAAGUCUAGUUUAACCAGAAAAUGAAUUUAGUAACUUCAUUUGUACCCUGGAUGUCUUCCUCUGUGACGAAAACUAGGCACACUGUCUAGUAUCUGCCUGGCAGAGGACUGAGCCCCAGGGAACGAGGGGCUCUCUGGAGUGAGACAGACCAGAGGCGGACACUGAGAGGCUAGUCAGCCUAGUCCUGACCCGAGCCCCCAGCACUGAGUAACCUCAGAGCAGGCGGCGCAUGCCAGGUGCGCCGAGGCUGGAGCUACCACACUUUUGGAGAAAGGAUAUGUAGAUUUGAGCUGUUUUCUGUUGGGUCAAACAGCUCAGAACUCAACUGUAAGCUGAUACAAUAUGUAAAUGAAUUAAAUUGUUUUUAUUUUAUUAUAGAAAUUAAGAAGCCAACAGUAGCUCUUUAAACCAGAGCCUUCCAAGCUGUUUUCCUUUUGCCUCAUAAAGGCUGUCCUUGAGCUGCUACGAGGGCCUCUCUUCCUGUGGCACAGGGCCCACUGGUGGGGGCAGUGUCUGCUGACUUGCCUUCUCCUUGUUGUCACUGUAACUUUAUUGCCAAGACCCUGGACCGUACUUGGUCCUGUAGGUGGGUAUGCUUUGGAGUCAGGAUGCCCUGGAAGGCAGACACCUGGACUGAGUCAGGAGACUGGUAUUUGCAGCAACAGUUGGCCAGGUUUGGGAAGGUAGGGCCAGGAAGAACCAGCCGUGGAGAACAGAUGCAUACCCUGAGGACAGGUAGAUGAUCCAGGAAAAAUUGGUGACAGGCCCCUUGAGACGGGUGGUUCACAGGAGACCGAUAUCCACCCCAGCUGGACGGGGGUGUCUCUGCAAGCAGAUGGGUGGGCACAAAGCAGGGAUCUUGUCUGUGGUUUUGGAGUCCAGGGGCAGAGUCCUAGGCCUGGAAUUGAGUGAGAACGUAAGGACUCCCCUAGAGAAUGAGGUGGAAGACGCCGCUUCAGGAAUGUGGGUAAAAGGUGGGCUUAGCUCAGAGGGGUGGUGUUGGUACAGAUAGCAUCCUGCAGUGUGAGGUGAUACGGUAUUGGGGGCUUGUUGGGUCAGAGUAGCUUAAGGUUUCUUAAAUUCUGGAACUGGUUCUGUUUCAAAUAUAGUAGUAGCCUCUUACUUUCUUAAAAAUUUGAAUAAAUAUAGGGCUGCCCUGAUACGUUUUUGUAUGGAAGAAUAUGAGGUCUGAGAGGGGCAUAGGCGUUUAGAUUUAUUUCAGAUCUACAUUUCUUGUGACUACCUUGGGCUUGUCUGCAGACUGCAGAGUCUUCCUGCAGCCUGUCCUAGAGAGCUGAGGGGCACAGUUAGAACUCUCUAGGGAGGGGCCAGAUAGACGGCCGGCAUCUGACAGACUACAGCCAGAUAAUUCUGAAAUGAAAAUCAAGAAGUUAAUAUACUUACUCUAAGCAGGGUGUGAUCACACACUAUCAGCCACUGUUCAGUGUGACCACUUAAGGAAUACUGCUUCUUAGCUUCAAACUUACAUUUUUGAACAGGUUUAUUCUAUUAAAGGGGACCUGUGCAAAAUAUAAGAAAGCUUGCAUGUAACAAGUAUAGUAGUUAUUCUGCGUACAGUGGCCACUAGUAAAAUUCUAUAUGUACUUUAUUGAUUAUUAGAAGUAUAUGACUAUUCCCCUGGUCAGAGAAGACAGUUGAAAUUCAAAGAUGUUUAUUUAAAACAGAGGCUAAAGAGCUUCAUUUUCCCUUUUUUUUUUAAUUUUUUUUUUUGGUUGAGACAGAGUCUCACCAAAUCUCUGGGUGACGACCCUGCAGGGGUCAUAGCUCACUACAGCCUCCAGCUCCUGGGCUCAAGUGAUCCUCCCGCCUUGGCCUCCCAGAGUGCUAGGAUUACAGGGGUGAGCCACUGAGCCUGGCUGAGAGCCUCAUUUUCAAAAGUUGUUUUCAUCGGCUACCAAAUAAUAUUCUUGUCACUUGGGUGACUCCAGAUUGGGGGAUAAAAUCAAAAUUUAAAUAAUAAUGAAUUUUGUUAUCCAGUACUCUUUUGUGGGCAUUUAUAAAUAUUUAUGUUUAACUUAGUUUUUUAAUUAGAGAAGCAGAGAUUUAUGUAUGCCAGUUAUACAUGAUUUUUCUUUUCAGUAUUCUCAUAUUUAAAUCCAUUAAGCUAUUUCUAUUUAUUUUAUAUAAACAUCGAGCUCUUACACCAUCAUGUAAAAUCAGGAACAUUGGAAAUUUCAGGUGAAUUUGAUUAGUAAAUACACCCUUAAAGGUAGUGAUCUAAGAACCAAAGGAAUCAGACAUGUAUGGUGUUCAGGUUUUGCUUUGGCAAUAACCCCCUUGUGCUUUUUAAAAAUAUUUAUCUUGUAGUAUAAAGCUUUUGUAAGAAAAUAUGGAGAUAUUCUUUGCCCCAUUUUCUGACAGCUAUGAUGACGUUGUUAUUUGGCCAGUAAGCCCCAGCCUGAACCAUGUUUCAAAACCACUUUUGCCCUUCUGGUAUCCUUGCUGGUGUUCACAAGGUAUCGAAUGGGUUUGCAAUGCUGCUGCCUCUUCUCUUCUCUUCUCUUCUCUUCUCUUCUCUUCUCUUCUCUUCUCUUCUCUUCUCUUCUCUUCUCUUCUCUUCUCUUCUUUUUCUUUUUUUUAAAAUCUGUGGAUUUUGUCCUAGUAAGUUUUAUAUGAUGUAAUUUACUAACGUCUGCAUAUGAUUACAUGGCUUUUUCCCCCCAAUCUGUUACAUAGGCAAUCAUGGCCAACCAAAAUUGACGUACCCCAGGACCUUGAGGAUGACCUCACGGCCACUCCUUUGUCCCACGCGACUGUCCCUCAGUCUCCUGCUCGGGCUGCCGACAAUGUCCUCAAUGGCCACAGGAGCAAAGGCCUGUGUGACUCAGCUAAGAAAGAUGACCUUCCUGAGUUGGCUGGGCCAGCACUCACCACGGUGCCGCCUACAAGCUUAAAACCCACGGCCAGUGGGCGGAAGUGUUUGUUCAGGGUGGAAGAAGAUGAAGAGGAAGAUGAGGAGGACAAGAAACCCAUGUCCCUCUCAACUCAAGUGGUUUUGCGCCGGAAGCCAUCUGUGACCAACCGCCUGACAUCUAGGAAGAGCGCUCCUGUGCUCAACCAGAUCUUUGAGGAAGGGGAAUCUGACGACGAGUUUGACAUGGAUGAGAAUCUGCCUCCCAAAUUGAGCAGGUUAAAGAUGAAUAUCGCUUCCCCAGGCACAGUUCACAAACGCUACCACCGGAGGAAAAGUCAGGGCCGGGGCUCCAGCUGCAGUAGUUCAGAGACCAGUGAUGAUGAUUCCGAAAGCCGGCGGCGGCUCGAUAAAGAUAGUGGCUUCACCUACUCCUGGCACCGCCGGGAUAGCAGCGAGGGGCCCCCGGGCAGUGAGGGGGAUGGCGGGGGCCAGGGCAAGCCGAGCAACAGCAGUGGGGGGGCAGACAAGGCCAGCCCCAGCGAGAACAAUGCUGGCGGGGGCAGCCCCUCCAGCGGCUCGGGCGGCAACCCCACCAGCACGUCGGGCAGCACCCGCCGCUGCGCCGGCCCCGGCAACUCCAUGCAGCUGGCCUCGCGCAGCGCCGGGGAGCUCGUGGAGAGCCUGAAACUCAUGAGUCUCUGCCUUGGCUCCCAGCUUCAUGGGAGCACUAAGUACAUUAUUGAUCCACAGAAUGGCUUGUCGUUCUCCAGCGUGAAAGUGCAGGAGAAAUCCACGUGGAAAAUGUGUAUCAGCUCCACAGGGAACGCGGGGCAGGCCCCUGCGGUGGGCAGCAUAAAGUUUUUCUCUCACCACAUGGCGGAUACCACCACUGAAUUGGAACGCAUAAAGAGCAAGAACUUGAAAAAUAACGUGCUACAGCUACCUCUGUGUGAAAAGACCAUCUCUGUGAACAUCCAGCGGAACCCCAAGGAGGGGCUGCUGUGCGCCUCCAGCCAGGCCAGCUGCUGCCACGUCAUCUGACCGCGGCCCGCCCGGCCCCUGGCACGCGCCUGCUCAGAGCGGUGGAGAUCGGCUUGCUCCACCCGUCCCCCUUCGGUUUUACUGUUUUAAAGUGGGCGUUAGGAGCAAUUAUUUAUUACCUUUCCAUUUGUUCGCCUGACGAUGUGACAAUGCAUGGUCUUUGUGCAUGCUGCUAGACACUGCUUUUCUUUCCAGCCGAAAAGCCUAUUGUGUAAUUUUUACGUUUAUACAACAAUGUGGAUGAGAUCAGGAUAAAUUAAGGUGUAUAUUUGGAACCUAAUAUAAAUGGAGCACUUAGAAAUUUGAUAUCCUUGCACUUAACCUAGAGAGAGAAAAAAAUGCUUUUGUUUCCUUGUGAGAAAUCUAAAUUCCUGUCCCGACCUUCUGUGAUACGGAAACUGUGCUCUGAGGCACCUCUGUGGUGUCUGAGACAGAACCAAAGCAAUAACGCCGUGACGCCACAGGCCUGGAGCAAGCUAGCGACCCGCCGGGGCCUGUGCAGAGCAGAGGACAGUGAGUGUCCGCACUGACAACCUUGAAACCAUGGUUUGAACACACCCACACCUGUUUGUCUUAAGCUAUAGUGUGAAACAAGUUUGGGCUCUUAAAAAUUAACUGAAAAAGAUUUUCUUGUUUUUGUAAUAGGUGAGAUAAAGUACUUAGAUUUGUAAGGCAGCUUCCCCUGUAGUGAUAAAUUACAAGCAGACAAUCUCAUUUUUUCCUGUGAUAAAGUGAAUCGAUGAUAAAGU
Microcebus murinus (gray mouse lemur) is the source of this 5741-nucleotide non-coding RNA. NCBI's taxonomy places the organism in Eukaryota, Metazoa, Chordata, Mammalia, Primates, Cheirogaleidae. The record is from RefSeq and is a predicted model, not a curated record.